This 110-nucleotide ribosomal RNA is filed under the name Notamacropus eugenii (tammar wallaby). The record is from RNAcentral. Lineage: Eukaryota; Metazoa; Chordata; Mammalia; Diprotodontia; Macropodidae.
CCCAAACCACCCUGAAUGCACUCAUCUCUUUGGAUCUCAAAAGCAAAGCAGGACCAGAAUUGGUUUAUAGUUAGAGGGGAGACUGCUAGUGACUAUUGAGUACUAAAGGC